This 497-nucleotide ribosomal RNA is filed under the name uncultured bacterium. RNAcentral describes it as "partial 16S ribosomal RNA". It matches the Rfam family "Bacterial small subunit ribosomal RNA", at positions 28 to 507 of the family's 1533-position model. The record is from RNAcentral.
GAUGAACGCUGGCGGCGUGCCUAAUACAUGCAAGUCGAGCGAACGGACGAGAAGCUUGCUUCUCUGAUGUUAGCGGCGGACGGGUGAGUAACACGUGGAUAACCUACUUAUAAGACUGGGAUAACUUCGGGAAACCGGAGCUAAUACCGGAUAAUAUUUUGAACCGCAUGGUUCAAAAGUGAAGAAGGGUCUUCCGGUCACUAAUAGAUGGAUCCGCGCUGCAUUGGCUAGUUGGUAAGGUAACGGCUUACCAAGGCAACGAUGCAUAGCCGACCUGAGAGGGUGAUCGGCCACACUGGAACUGAGACACGGUCCAGACUCCUACGGGAGGCAGCAGUAGGGAAUCUUCCGCAAUGGGCGAAAGCCUGACGGAGCAACGCCGCGUGAGUGAUGAAGGUCUUCGGAUCGUAAAACUCUGUUAUUAGGGAAGAACAUAUGUGUAAGUAACUGUGCACAUCUUGACGGUACCUAAUCAGAAAGCCACGGCUAACUACGUG